RNAcentral lists this ribosomal RNA (488 nucleotides) under uncultured bacterium. RNAcentral describes it as "partial 16S ribosomal RNA". It matches the Rfam family "Bacterial small subunit ribosomal RNA", at positions 28 to 507 of the family's 1533-position model. The record is from RNAcentral.
GACGAACGCUGGCGGCGUGCUUAACACAUGCAAGUCGAACGAUAAUACCAAGCUUGCUUGGUUGAUUAGUGGCGAACGGGUGAGUAACACGUGAGUAACCUGCCCCUUACUUUCCUGGAUAACUGCUCGAAAGGGUAGCUAAUACGGGAUAUUCUGACCAGCCUGCAUGGGUUGGUUUGGAAAGGUUGUUUUUCUGGUAAGGGAUGGGCUCGCGGCCUAUCAGCUUGUUGGUGGGGUGAUGGCCUACCAAGGCUUUGACGGGUAGCCGGCCUGAGAGGGUGGACGGUCACACUGGGACUGAGAUACGGCCCAGACUCCUACGGGAGGCAGCAGUGGGGAAUAUUGCACAAUGGGCGCAAGCCUGAUGCAGCGACGCCGCGUGAGGGAUGAAGGCCUUCGGGUUGUAAACCUCUUUCGUCAGGGAACAAGGCACUGCUUUUUUGGUGGUGUUGAGGGUACCUGGAUAAGAAGCGCCGGCUAACUACGUG